Molecule: unclassified non-coding RNA, 354 nt
Filed under: soil metagenome
Description: partial contains 5.8S ribosomal RNA, internal transcribed spacer 2, and large subunit ribosomal RNA
Rfam family: 5.8S ribosomal RNA (bases 1-120)
Source: RNAcentral
GAUGAAGAACGCAGCGAAAUGCGAUAAGUAGUGUGAAUUGCAGAAUUCAGUGAAUCAUCGAAUCUUUGAACGCACAUUGCGCCUCCUGGUAUUCAGGGAGGCAUGCCUGUUCGAGCGUCAUUAAAAUCACUCAAGCUUAGGUUUACCUAUUGCUUGGUCUUGGAGAUGGAAGCCAAUUUAUUGGAAUCCUCUUCGAAAUUCAAUGGCGAAGACCCUUGCUCUCCCAAGUGUAGUAAUAACUUAUGUCACUGAAGGAAGCGAGAAAUCUUCUGCCGUAACCCCCAUAUUUUCUAUGAUUGACCUCGGAUCAGGUAGGGAUACCCGCUGAACUUAAGCAUAUCAAUAAGCGGAGGA